GACGAACGCUGGCGGCGUGCUUAACACAUGCAAGUCGAGCGGUAAGGCCUUUCGGGGUACCCGAGCGGCGAACGGGUGAGUAACACGUGGGUGAUCUGCCCUGCACUUCGGGAUAAGCGUGGGAAACUGGGUCUAAUAACGGAUAUGACCUCCUAUCGCAUGGCGGGUGGUGGAAAGAUUUAUCGGUGCAGGAUGGGCCCGCGGCCUAUCAGCUUGUUGGUGGGGUAAUGGCCUACCAAGGCGACGACGGGUAGCCGACCUGAGAGGGUGACCGGCCACACUGGGACUGAGACACGGCCCAGACUCCUACGGGAGGCAGCAGUGGGGAAUAUUGCACAAUGGGCGAAAGCCUGAUGCAGCGACGCCGCGUGAGGGAUGACGGCCUUCGGGUUGUAAACCUCUUUCAGCAGGGACGAAGCGCAAGUGACGGUACCUGCAGAAGAAGCACCGGCUAACUACGUG
This 462-nucleotide ribosomal RNA is filed under the name uncultured bacterium. Its description in RNAcentral is "partial 16S ribosomal RNA". It matches the Rfam family "Bacterial small subunit ribosomal RNA", at positions 28 to 507 of the family's 1533-position model. The record is from RNAcentral.